RNAcentral lists this transfer RNA (71 nucleotides) under Rhodococcus opacus. RNAcentral's name for it is "tRNA-Ser". It matches the Rfam family "tRNA". Rfam says of the family: Transfer RNA (tRNA) molecules are approximately 80 nucleotides in length. Their secondary structure includes four short double-helical elements and three loops (D, anti-codon, and T loops). Lineage: Bacteria; Bacillati; Actinomycetota; Actinomycetes; Mycobacteriales; Nocardiaceae. The record is from RNAcentral.
GGGGCUGUAGCUCAGUUGGUAGAGCGCCUGACUGACUCGGAAGGCCGCGGGUUCGAAUCCCGCCAGGUCUG